UUGAUGGCGACCGGCGCACGGGUGCGUAACGCGUAUGCAACCUACCUUUUACAGGGGCAUAACACUGAGAAAUUGGUACUAAUUCCCCAUAAUAUCUGAGGCGGCAUCGUUUUGGGUUGAAAACUCCGGUGGUAAAAGAUGGGCAUGCGUUGUAUUAGCUAGUUGGUGAGGUAACGGCUCACCAAGGUGACGAUACAUAGGGGGACUGAGAGGUUAACCCCCCCACAUUGGUACUGAGACACGGACCAAACUCCUACGGAAGGCAGCAG
RNAcentral lists this ribosomal RNA (269 nucleotides) under uncultured bacterium. RNAcentral describes it as "partial 16S ribosomal RNA". It matches the Rfam family "Bacterial small subunit ribosomal RNA", at positions 85 to 354 of the family's 1533-position model. The record is from RNAcentral.